GGUCGCUUGGCGCAGCGGGAGCGCAAGUGCCUUACAAGCACUGGGUCGGGGGUUCAAAUCCCUCAGCGACCACCA
Molecule: transfer RNA, 75 nt
Filed under: Coriobacteriia bacterium
Lineage: Bacteria; Bacillati; Actinomycetota; Coriobacteriia
Also listed under: 1 other name
Description: tRNA-Val
Rfam family: tRNA
About the family: Transfer RNA (tRNA) molecules are approximately 80 nucleotides in length. Their secondary structure includes four short double-helical elements and three loops (D, anti-codon, and T loops).
Source: RNAcentral